CCCUGAGAAGGACGUUCCCAUGGUAGAAAAGAAGAGCAAGAAACCCAAGAAGAAAGAGAAAAAACACAAAGAGAAAGAGAGAGACAAGGAGAAGAAGAAGGAGAAGGAGAAGAAGGCUGAGGACCUGGACUUCUGGCUGUCUACCACCCCACCGCCUGCCCCCGCCCCCGCCCCCGCCCCCGUUCCAUCCACGGUAAGAGACUGGCAGCUGGCCAGUGCCAGCCUCGGUGUCUGCAGAGGUCAUACCUGGCACUCAGGGAAGAGCCCUGGGUCUCCUGAGGCCCUGUGCUCUCGCGGUCAGCACCGUGCACCUGUGGGACCCAGCACUGAGUGGAGCCGGGGUCAUGCUCCCGGGUCCCAGUGGGCCAAGCAGGGGCCAGGGGAAGGGGAGGACAGCCAGGGCCUCUGUGCUCACAGGCUCCCUGUCACUCGGAGGGCACUGUGGCCUCUCAGGCAGGCGUGAGGGCAAGCUGAGGGUGUGUGGCAUGGAGGCUGUCUGGGGUGCAGUGGAGUGGGGCCCCUCAUUGCCCAGCAUGAGCCCCAAGCCCUGGCUCCCUGCAGGGGGAGCUCAGUGUGAACACUGUCACUACCCCGAAGGACGAGUGUGAGGACGCCAAGACGGAGGCGCAGGGCGAGGAGGACGAUGCCGAGGGGCAAGACCAGGACAAG
Molecule: long non-coding RNA, 669 nt
Filed under: Homo sapiens (human)
Lineage: Eukaryota; Metazoa; Chordata; Mammalia; Primates; Hominidae
Description: non-protein coding lnc-MOB3A-1:1
Source: RNAcentral